GUCCCUGUAGAGCAAUAAUAGAUAGUGCGUUGGACUUCUAAUUCAAUGUUCGUGGGCUCAAAUCCCUCUUGGGAUG
Molecule: non-coding RNA, 76 nt
Organism: Trichonephila clavipes
Lineage: Eukaryota; Metazoa; Arthropoda; Arachnida; Araneae; Nephilidae
Source: the annotation of a GenBank genome assembly